CACUUGCUUGGCUGCUUCAGGCCUAUCUACCACACCUGUCCUCUGUUAACUUCUUCCUUAACCUUUGCCCAUCUGGACAACCUGACCACCUUGAAAGAAAGAGCAAGCUGGCCCAUUCUUGCUGCUCUCCAAAUAAACAGGUUCUCCUGGCAUGGGAGCCAGGCCCAGAAUGGCAAAGCCUAAUUAGAAGAGCCAUAUGAGCAGCUUCUGUCCUUUGACAUGGAGUUUCUCUCAAAAUGACACCUGUGUGAGCUAUUGGAAAGGAAGCUCAUGGACUUACUUAAUUCUCAUAACCACAGGAACAAAACCAAGGAGGAAUUUCCUGAGUUUUGCCUGCAGCACAUAAAAAAGAGAAGAGGCACUGCUGUUUUUUUUUUCCCCAGGCUGCAGAAAAUCUCUGAGCUGUUCUUGUAGACUUCUCCAGUUCUUGUUCUAGACUGUAUGGAGCAGGCCUCUUAUGAAGAAGGAAUGCAGGAAUAUUGCCUCUCCAUCAGCACCAUCACAUGUGAGCCUUUUCACCAGUUAGCCUGUUAUGCCGUGAUUUGUCUGGAAGAGGAAGCAUCAAGCCUGCGUACCUUGUGGAACUGUACCACGGCAGCCAUCAGACCGUCCUGUCUGCCUCAGCUACGUCUGGGUGCAGACUGGAGGAGCACAUCAGAGUUGAAGCGGUCGGACAGUGAUGCACCCCGAUACCUCUCCAGAUGGGACCCUGCCAUGCUGCGGAGCCCGUCGAAGCACCCGGCUGACAGGCACCUGCCUCACGUUUGGAGGUGCGUGCCUUGCUGAGUUCUACCGGGGGCAGAAAUUCCUAGACGAGGGAGCCCGCAGCCGGGGAAGCAUCUGAGUGCAGCACACAGGGACCAUCCAUACCCAGGCACCAUCUGAAGAUCUCUUUUUGCUGAAACUUUGCUUCUGAUGAUGAAGCUUUCUGCCUUGCUGGUGUUACUUCUCAGGGAGUGAUUCCCAAACCAGUGCCAUCUCCCAAAGCCUGCUAACACCCCAGUAGCUGGAGCAAGUAAGAGCUGGUUUUGUUGGCAGCAUGCUGUGGUCACAGCUCAUCAGCUCUGACUUUAAAAUGGGUUUCUGGGUGCCUGAGGCUGCCCAGCCACAGCCUGACCCAGCUGCCCGGCCACAGCAGCAUCACUUAACCCACCUUGGUCAUGCUGGAAAGGAGCAGCGCUCCCCACACAACUGCUGCCAAGGACUCCUAUAUUCUAAUCCUUCCUUUGUUAUAGUUCAUUAUUUAUAAACAUUUGUCACUCUGUUUUUGUAAUAGUGUGCAAUUUAUAAUUACUGCUUUAUUCCAUUACUUUCUUUAUGUGGGUGCAUCCUCAGUAUUGUUCACAAGCAGGAAGUCUGGUGGAAACUUCAGCUUGAUGCAGAAUGAGGCAGCCCCCCUAGAAAUCAGCAGACCCAGCCCAUGGUUAUAAUAUGGUGGAUUCUUACCCCUCCAUCCAUUCGUGAAUUGAGCUCCUUCCGAUCAUUAACUGCAUUGUGUGUGUUUGUUAAUUAACUGCUAAUGGGCUUUCUGCUGUAUCUGCACAGUAGGUACCAGUACAUAAAACAGCUAAGCUUAAAGUUUUUUUCCUGGAAAUAUUACAGAAAUAAACAAACAUCUAUGCGCAUUAACUUUUUUCUUUUCACAUAUCGAAUACCCACCAUAUGCUAUAUGCUUUAAAUGACAUCAGUCCCUGUGCUUCCAAGAUAAAGACGGAAAUCGAGGAUUUAAAAUUCAUACAAGUGUAAAUGCCUAUUGAAAGCUGCAUUUUGUCCCACACAGCAGCAAAGUAUCCAAUAAGUUUUCAUUAGCAAAACAGUAAGAUACAGACAUUUUGAUGAUGCAUGUUUGGUAUUAAGAAAAGAAAAAGAGAAUUUAUAGUGGAGAGAUUAAAGGGUGAACAACUACGGAAUUUAAAAAGAUAGGGUAUGUAAAAUGUGAAGAAGCUGUGCAAGGCCACAGAUCUGUUGUGAUCAAGUCUGUGUUGUUUAAGAACUUACCAGAAAUUUUAACUAGUGGGUUUAAUUCUGUCAUCCCUAAAGGCAGUAACUUCCAGCUAAUGCUCUGCAGAUGCUUGUACCACUGAAAUCCAUCCCCAGGGGGUUUCCAGUGAAGCCCAUAGUAUGACACGGUCACCUGGUUGUUUGUAUCUGUAUGUAGAGGUGUGAGCCCAAACCUUUAGCAAA
Molecule: long non-coding RNA, 2184 nt
Organism: Anas platyrhynchos (mallard)
Lineage: Eukaryota; Metazoa; Chordata; Aves; Anseriformes; Anatidae
Source: RefSeq, a predicted model, not a curated record